AGGCGAAGUGAUUCGCCACAAGCCGUGACGCACGGCCGCUGAGCGGCGGAUUUCCUCGUCGGGUCCGCCGCUUUUUU
Molecule: small RNA, 77 nt
Organism: Xanthomonas albilineans GPE PC73
Lineage: Bacteria; Pseudomonadati; Pseudomonadota; Gammaproteobacteria; Lysobacterales; Lysobacteraceae
Rfam family: Xanthomonadaceae sRNA Xoo2
Source: Rfam